GCGUUGUCCGGAUUUAUUGGGCGUAAAGCGCGCGCAGGCGGCUCGGAAAGUCGGGUGUGAAAAUCCAGGGCUCAACCCCGGACCUGCAUCCGAUACUCCCGGGCUAGAGGCAGGUAGGGGAGAGUGGAAUUCCUGGUGUAGCGGUGAAAUGCGCAGAUAUCAGGAGGAACACCGGUGGCGAAGGCGGCUCUCUGGACCUGUCCUGACGCUCAGGCGCGAAAGCUAG
This 226-nucleotide ribosomal RNA is filed under the name uncultured bacterium. RNAcentral describes it as "partial 16S ribosomal RNA". It matches the Rfam family "Bacterial small subunit ribosomal RNA", at positions 538 to 763 of the family's 1533-position model. The record is from RNAcentral.